This 236-nucleotide long non-coding RNA is filed under the name Elaeis guineensis (African oil palm). RNAcentral's name for it is "long non-coding RNA (EGUI_LNC074679)". Lineage: Eukaryota; Viridiplantae; Streptophyta; Magnoliopsida; Arecales; Arecaceae. The record is from RNAcentral.
GAAGCUCGGAUAGAGACUUUCUGUUGGCGAAGUCCGAUAGAAAUCCGAUUGCUAGAGAAGUCCGUCUGGGAUUCGCCCAAUGUGGAAACUCGCCUGAAGAUGAUCCGUUGGAGAAGUUCGAUUUUAUGAAGGAUCUGGUGGAGGGUCGGCCGGUGAUGGACUUCGGAUGGCAUUGGGGAGGUUCGGCAGACAUCGGAGGCGAUCGGUCGUUGUAAGAAUCCAGCCGCUGGAGCCCG